GCUUGUGUGGCGCAGUGGUUAGAGUAUCAGACCAGGACUGGGGAGAUUCUGGGUUCAAACCCCCGCUCAGCCA
Non-coding RNA from Podarcis lilfordi (Lilford's wall lizard), 73 nucleotides. The record is from the annotation of a GenBank genome assembly. NCBI's taxonomy places the organism in Eukaryota, Metazoa, Chordata, Lepidosauria, Squamata, Lacertidae.